This 253-nucleotide ribosomal RNA is filed under the name uncultured bacterium. Its description in RNAcentral is "partial 16S ribosomal RNA". It matches the Rfam family "Bacterial small subunit ribosomal RNA", at positions 524 to 776 of the family's 1533-position model. The record is from RNAcentral.
UACGUAGGGUGCAAGCGUUGUCCGGAAUUAUUGGGCGUAAAGAGCUCGUAGGCGGUUUGUCGCGUCUGCUGUGAAAACUCGGGGCUUAACUCCGGGCCUGCAGUGGGUACGGGCAGACUAGAGUGCGGUAGGGGAGACUGGAAUUCCUGGUGUAGCGGUGAAAUGCGCAGAUAUCGGGAGGAACACCUGUGGCGAAAGCGGCGCACUGGACCACAACUGACGCUGAGGCGCGAAAGCUAGGGGAGCAAACAGG